RNAcentral lists this ribosomal RNA (259 nucleotides) under uncultured bacterium. Its description in RNAcentral is "partial 16S ribosomal RNA". It matches the Rfam family "Bacterial small subunit ribosomal RNA", at positions 524 to 777 of the family's 1533-position model. The record is from RNAcentral.
UACGUAGGGUGCAAGCGUUAUCCGGAAUUAUUGGGCGUAAAGAGCUCGUAGGCGGUUUUGUCGCGUCUGCUGUGAAAACUGGAGGCUCAACCUCCAGCCUGCAGUGGGGUACGGGGCAAACUAGAGUGCGGUAGGGGGAGAUUGGAAUUCCUGGUGUAGCGGUGGAAUGCGCAGAUAUCAGGAGGAACACCGAUGGCGAAGGCAGAUCUCUGGGCCUAACUGCGCUGAGGAGCGAAAGCAUGGGGGGAGCGAAACAGGG